AACGCACCUUGCGCUCCUUGGUAUUCCGAGGAGCAUGCCUGUUUGAGUGUCAUGAAACUCUCACCCUCUAGCUUUCUUAAUCGUGGCUAGCGGCGUGGACGUGAGCGCUGCUGCUUUAUUGCGGCUCGCUCGAAAUGCAUUAGCAGACCCUUUUCGUAAUCGGUUCCACUCAACGUGAUAAGUAUUUCGUUGAGGACAGUUGCAGCAAUGCGGCUGGCCGGGAUAAGAAAGGCAUAGUUGUCAGCUUCUAAUCGCCCUUGGGCAAUUUUUUAUGAUCUGGCCUCAAAUCAGGUAGGACUACCCGCUGAACUUAA
This 314-nucleotide unclassified non-coding RNA is filed under the name uncultured Tausonia. Its description in RNAcentral is "sequence contains ITS2". The stretch from base 1 to 52 matches the Rfam family "5.8S ribosomal RNA", at positions 103 to 154 of the family's 154-position model. Lineage: Eukaryota; Fungi; Basidiomycota; Tremellomycetes; Cystofilobasidiales; Mrakiaceae. The record is from RNAcentral.